CAGUUGGUUGUCGUCAGCUUCGUGUCGUGAGAGUUGGUUUAGGGUUAACGUCCCGACAACGAGCGCAACCCCUAUUGUUAGUUGCCAUCAUUCAGUUGGGCACUCUAGCGAGACUGCCGGUAAUAACCGGAGGAAGGUGGGAUGACGUCAAAUCAUCAUGCCCCUUAUGACCUGGGCUACACACGUGCUACAAUGGUUGGUACAACGAGUUGCGAGUCGGUGACGGCGAGCUAAUCUCUUAAAGCCAAUCUCAGUUCGGAUUGUAGGCUGCAACUCGCCUACAUGAAGUCGGAAUCGCUAGUAAUCGCGGAUCAGCACGCCGCGGUGAAUACGUUCCCGGGCCUU
This 345-nucleotide ribosomal RNA is filed under the name uncultured Streptococcus sp. Its description in RNAcentral is "bacterial SSU rRNA". It matches the Rfam family "Bacterial small subunit ribosomal RNA", at positions 1042 to 1382 of the family's 1533-position model. The record is from RNAcentral. Lineage: Bacteria; Bacillati; Bacillota; Bacilli; Lactobacillales; Streptococcaceae.